AGAGUUUGAUCCUGGCUCAGAACGAACGCUGGCGGCAGGCUUAACACAUGCAAGUCGAGCGCCCCGCAAGGGGAGCGGCAGACGGGUGAGUAACGCGUGGGAACAUACCCUCCGGUUCGGAAUAGCUCAGGGAAACUUGGAUUAAUACCGGAUACGGCCGAGAGGCGAAAGAUUUAUCGCCGGAGGAUUGGCCCGCGUUCGAUUAGCUAGUUGGUGAGGUAAUGGCUCACCAAGGCGACGAUCGAUAGCUGGUCUGAGAGGAUGAUCAGCCACAUUGGGACUGAGACACGGCCCAAACUCCUACGGGAGGCAGCAGUGGGGAAUAUUGGACAAUGGGCGCAAGCCUGAUCCAGCCAUGCCGCGUGAGUGAUGAAGGCCUUAGGGUUGUAAAGCUCUUUCGCUAGGGACGAUAAUGACGGUACCUAGACAAGAAGCCCCGGCUAACUUCGUGCCAGCAGCCGCGGUAAUACGAAGGGGGCUAGCGUUGUUCGGAAUUACUGGGCGUAAAGCGCGUGUAGGCGGGCUUUUAAGUCAGGGGUGAAAUGCCAAGGCUCAACCUUGGAACUGCCUUUGAUACUGGAAGUCUUGAGUCCGGGAGAGGUGAGUGGAACUGCGAGUGUAGAGGUGAAAUUCGUAGAUAUUCGCAAGAACACCAGUGGCGAAGGCGGCUCACUGGCCCGGAACUGACGCUGAGACGCGAAAGCGUGGGGAGCAAACAGGAUUAGAUACCCCAGUAGUCC
This 740-nucleotide ribosomal RNA is filed under the name uncultured bacterium. RNAcentral's name for it is "bacterial SSU rRNA". It matches the Rfam family "Bacterial small subunit ribosomal RNA", at positions 8 to 796 of the family's 1533-position model. The record is from RNAcentral.